CCUACGGGUGGCAGCAGUGGGGAAUAUUGCACAAUGGGGGCAACCCUGAUGCAGCAACGCCGCGUGAAGGAAGACGGUUUUCUGAUUGUAAACCUGUGUUCUUAGUGAAGAAUAAUGACGGUAGCUAAGGAGCAAGCCACGGCUAACCACGUGUCAGCAGGCGCGGUAAUACGUAGGUGGCAAGCGUUUUCCGGAAUUUCUGGGUUUAAACGGAGUGCAGGCGGGAAGACAAGUCAGGUGUGAAAACUACGGGCUUAACUUUGAGACUGCAGUUGAUACUGGUUGUCUUGAGUGAAGUAGAGGUAGGCGGAAUUACUGGUGUAGCGGUGAAAUGCGUAGAUAUUAGGCGGAACACCGAUUGCGAAGGCAGCCAACCGGGCUUCAACUGACGCUGAGGCACGAAAGUGUGGGGAGCAAACAGGAUUAGAUACCCGGGUAGUC
This 441-nucleotide ribosomal RNA is filed under the name uncultured bacterium. Its description in RNAcentral is "partial 16S ribosomal RNA". It matches the Rfam family "Bacterial small subunit ribosomal RNA", at positions 338 to 795 of the family's 1533-position model. The record is from RNAcentral.